GUGAAUCAUCAAAUUUUUGAACGCAAAUUGCACUCUCCGGUAUUCCGGAGAGUAUGCCUGUUUGAGGGUCAGUAUAAAUAAAAAUCGGGGUGUUGGUUGUCUUUCGUGGUGCCGCACCGGAUUUGGGUUGUCUUUCCUUCGGGUAAGUGACCUACAAUAUUUCAUGAUUCUCUUCGCACGUAUUGACAUGCUUU
Molecule: unclassified non-coding RNA, 194 nt
Filed under: Glomerales sp.
Lineage: Eukaryota; Fungi; Glomeromycota; Glomeromycetes; Glomerales; Glomeraceae
Description: partial contains 5.8S ribosomal RNA and internal transcribed spacer 2
Rfam family: 5.8S ribosomal RNA (bases 1-71)
Source: RNAcentral